Molecule: signal recognition particle RNA, 265 nt
Filed under: Candidatus Omnitrophota bacterium
Lineage: Bacteria; Pseudomonadati; Candidatus Omnitrophota
Description: signal recognition particle sRNA large type
Rfam family: Bacterial large signal recognition particle RNA
About the family: The signal recognition particle (SRP) is a universally conserved ribonucleoprotein involved in the co-translational targeting of proteins to membranes. Archaeal SRP consists of a 7S RNA and homologues of the eukaryotic SRP19 and SRP54 proteins. In most bacteria, the SRP consists of a 4.5S RNA and the Ffh protein (a homologue of the eukaryotic SRP54 protein).
Source: RNAcentral
GUGUGCUAAGCGGGGAGUUAGCGGUGCCCUGUACCUGCAACCCGCUACAGCAGGGCCGAAUUCCCUUUCCCCGGGACACGUUUGUGAGGCAGCGCCGCGUAAGGAGUGUUGAAGGACAGGUCCUGCGCAAUGCCGGCUCUCGAACCAGGUCAGGUCCGAAAGGAAGCAGCCUUAAGAGAAAACCGGCAUGUGCCGCGGGGGUGCCCGUCUGGAGCCACCUGCGCGGUGGCGCUUGGAAGCGUUGUUUCAAAGAAAGGGUGCACAC